This 1253-nucleotide ribosomal RNA is filed under the name Phymata americana. RNAcentral describes it as "16S ribosomal RNA". The stretch from base 816 to 1185 matches the Rfam family "Archaeal large subunit ribosomal RNA", at positions 2150 to 2716 of the family's 2987-position model. The record is from RNAcentral. Lineage: Eukaryota; Metazoa; Arthropoda; Insecta; Hemiptera; Phymatidae.
UAAUUUAUUUAUUAUUUAAUGUUUUAUUUAUUUAUUUUUAAUAAAAAUAAUUUAGUUUUUAGUAAUUUUUAAUGAAUUAAUUAAAUUAAUUAUAGUUUACAGUACUGUAUAGGAAGUAAAGAAAUUAAUUAUAAGUAGUUUUUAUUUAUACUUACCUUUUGUAUCAGGGUUAAUUAAUUAAAUUAUAGGAAUAUUAUAUUUCCCGAAAUUAGGUGACCUAAAAUUUAAUGUAAGUGAGUGUUACAAAAUUCUUUGAGAUUAAAUUUUAGUAGUGAUAUGCUAUCCAUACCUAAAUAUCUGGUUUUUUAAGAGAUGAAUUUAAUUCAGACAAGCUUAAAUUUUUCCAAUUUUAAUUGGUUAUUUGUUUGUUAAUAUAUAUGGGGAUUAGCUCAUGUAUAUAUUUAUAAUUCAUGGAUAAACUAAAAUAAUCUUAGGCUUAGAAUCAGCCAUAUUUAUAUCGUUACAGAUAAUUUUUUAUUUAUGUUUUAUUUUUUAAGAUUUAAUUUUAUAUUAAAAAAACUUGAUUAUUAAUUUAUCAGGUGUUAUAAUGAUUAAAUUAGUAUAAUUGAUAAAUAUAUUAUUGGAACUCGGCAAAUUUGAUUUCCGCCUGUUUAACAAAAACAUGUCUUUUAGAUUUUAUUAAAAGUCUGACCUGCCCAAUGAAUUUUUUUAAUGGCCGCGGUAUUUUGACCGUGCAAAGGUAGCAUAAUCAUUUGUCUCUUAAUUAGAGGCUGGAAUGAAUGGUUGGACGAGAAAUCAGCUUUCUUUAAUAUAUAUUUAAAACUUAAUUUUUAAGUCAAAAAGCUUAAAUUUUAUUAAGGGACGAGAAGACCCUAUAGAACUUUAUUAAUUUAUUGGACCACAUAAUUUUUUUAUUUACUUUUGUGGUCCACAUCUUUUAAUUGUGUUGGGGUGACAUAGAAAUUUAAUUAACUUUCUUUUUUUAUAUUCAUUGAUUAGUGUAUUUUUAGAUCCAGGUUUAUCUUGAUUAUAAGUUUAAGUUACCUUAGGGAUAACAGCGUAAUUCUUUUGGAGAGUUCUAAUCGAUGAAAGAGUUUGCGACCUCGAUGUUGGAUUAAAAUUAGUAUUGGGAGUAGAAGAUCAAUUACUAGGUCUGUUCGACCUUUAAAUUUUUACAUGAUCUGAGUUCAAACCGGCGUGAGCCAGGUUGGUUUCUAUCUUUAAUUGUUUUUAAUAUCUUAGUACGAAAGGACCGGGUAUUACUAUAAUAUUGUUUGUUUUUGAAUUAAAUU